RNAcentral lists this ribosomal RNA (253 nucleotides) under uncultured bacterium. RNAcentral's name for it is "partial 16S ribosomal RNA". It matches the Rfam family "Bacterial small subunit ribosomal RNA", at positions 524 to 776 of the family's 1533-position model. The record is from RNAcentral.
UACAGAGGGUGCGAGCGUUGUCCGGAAUUACUGGGCGUAAAGGGCGCGUAGGCGGCCUGAUAAGUAGGGGGUGAAAUUCCGUGGCUCAACCACGGAACUGCCUUCUAGACUGCCAGGCUUGAGCACGGUAGAGGCAGAUGGAAUUCCCGGUGUAGCGGUGGAAUGCGUAGAGAUCGGGAAGAACACCAGUGGCGAAGGCGGUCUGCUGGGCCGUUGCUGACGCUGAUGCGCGACAGCGUGGGGAGCAAACAGG